Long non-coding RNA from Monopterus albus (swamp eel), 1997 nucleotides. RefSeq lists it as uncharacterized. The record is from RefSeq and is a predicted model, not a curated record. NCBI's taxonomy places the organism in Eukaryota, Metazoa, Chordata, Actinopteri, Synbranchiformes, Synbranchidae. The transcript has 3 exons.
AAAAUAAAAGCCUGGGACAGAAUCAUGACAGCCCGCAAGGAGUGAAAGCACCUUGAUGUUGUAAUUCAGUAUGAUAGAUUGCUGAGAAGAAAAGAAGAGGAGGAACAGCAACAGAAAAAUAAAAGAAUUAGGCAGGCUGAAUUAAUGUCAACAAAUGAAGAGCUUUCAGGAUCACCGUGUUACACGACGUGACUAUACAGACUGAUGAAUCCAGUGACUGUGCUUCAGCCGUCUUCGACCUUCCUGACAACACACAAAAGAUGAACUUUGAAUAAUGCUGUUUCAGACCUGUUAAUGGAUGGAUAUGUGUAACAGUGAUGGAGUCACAUUAGAUUCAUUACCAGGCUGCUAUACAUCAAUAUGUUCAGGCAUAAGUAGAGUCUGGAAUAAUAUGUGCAGGUGAAUAAACACCUACACAUUCAAGCCUCUGUCAUGCCUAUAAAGGUCAUGAUAAAACCAUCAAGCAUAAAGCCAUAAACAUUAUGUAUAUCAGACCUCAUUGCUCACCUCAGUUUACAUAAAUCAGAGGUCUUUGCUAGGGUAACAGCCACCUGAUGCUACAGUCAGCACCUUUUCAUUAGUGACUAAAGUUGGGCUACUGUCACAUGUAAUCUUUAUGGGAUCAUUAGAUGUUACUUUGCUUUUGUGACCUGCUCUUAGGAGUAUUACAUGUCCUCAAACUGACUGGCCUUUUUUUUAAUGUAUUCUGAGCUGAAAAUGCCUAUAAUGAUUUGAGUGAGCAUUAGCAAAAACAUUGUCAAACUAUGUCCUGUAUGUGGAGCAGACUGGGAUUAUUGCAGAGAUUUUAUGUGGCCCACCUUCAUUUCUCAGGUCCUUUCUUAAAAACCUAUUAACUCUUAGUGUUAGACCACCUGUCUGUUUCUUCUACAAUGCCAAUAAAAUAUCACAGUACAUUUUCAGCAUUGACACUCAGAGCAAAAAAAUGGUUUCUCCAUCUUUGCUACUAAAUGAAGGGAUGCGAAUCUAAAAAAGAUAUAAAAAAGAAUGGAUAGCCUCCAGAUCCACAAAGGAUAAAAAGCAAUUUGUCAAAGAGAUAUGCACUACCAAAUCAAUCUAACCACCACCGCUAUGCUUUAGGCAGGAUUGCAAAGGUUGAAUCAGCUAAUACCUCAAACCCAGCAAAUUCCUUGUAAAGGUCAACAUUCAAAACAAUGAACAAAAUAUAUCAUCCAUAAAUGAAGUUUUGUCUUCGAAUAAACACACAACACCAAAUGCACAGAUGUAUAAAAACCCACAUGUCACAGGCAGAAUCUUCUCUGUUCAAGCAGUGGGAAAAGUAUCACUUGGCAAGACAGAUCCAACCCUGAUAUGCUCCAGCAGCCACCUCACCACAGGCUUCCCCCGGUGCAUGCAGAGGAGGUAUCAGGUCCUGAAAAUGAUGUGUUGUCCUCCUUCUAACACCAAGCUGAAAAAGCUCUUUGCUAGGGUUGAGAAUUAGAACACUCACCUCUGAUCCUUUUCUAUUUUAAGCUCCUAAAAAAAUAAAAGUGAAGAGUCAACUGACCCCUCAUGAAACCCCUUUCCUGAACAGCUAUUAACCUACACCCUAAUAUGGCCUAUCAUGAUUCUAGGUUCUCUACAUGUGUAUAGAGCACUAAUAAGAACCAUACUUCAUGUCCAAAGAGUUUGGAGAAGUGAGAAUGAUUGGUCCAGUGUCAUUUGUUCUUUCAAAUGUUUAUUGAUUUUUAGAAGCCAAUCUCAUUGUGUAAUAAUUUGGAAUUUUACAGUCCAACUGUUUUUACAGGAGUCAGUAACAGAUUGUGUGAUGAUUUUAUUCAGUCCACAGCCACAACAACAAAGUAGCUCCAGUUGCAAAAUGGCUAUUUAACUGAGUGGAAACCAACAAAAACUGAACAUCAAUAAGUAAAGAUGCUGGAAUCUACUGCACUUCAAUUAGCACUGUAAUAAACUUUUGCCGCUUUCCUCUAAAAGUUUGCAUUUAGAGUGUGAGAUUAAAAUUAAUCGGCACAGUACAG